RNAcentral lists this ribosomal RNA (253 nucleotides) under uncultured bacterium. Its description in RNAcentral is "partial 16S ribosomal RNA". It matches the Rfam family "Bacterial small subunit ribosomal RNA", at positions 524 to 776 of the family's 1533-position model. The record is from RNAcentral.
UACGUAGGGUGCAAGCGUUAAUCGGAAUUACUGGGCGUAAAGCGUGCGCAGGCGGUGAUGUAAGACAGAUGUGAAAUCCCCGGGCUCAACCUGGGAACUGCAUUUGUGACUGCAUCGCUGGAGUGUGGCAGAGGAGACUGGAAUUCCUGGUGUAGCAGUGAAAUGCGUAGAUAUCAGGAGGAAUACCGAUGGCGAAGGCAGGUCUCUGGGCUGACACUGACGCUCAUGCACGAAAGCGUGGGGAGCAAACAGG